Molecule: ribosomal RNA, 490 nt
Filed under: uncultured bacterium
Lineage: Bacteria
Description: partial 16S ribosomal RNA
Rfam family: Bacterial small subunit ribosomal RNA
Source: RNAcentral
AUUGAACGCUGGCGGCAGGCCUAACACAUGCAAGUCGAACGGUAACAGGAAGAAGCUUGCUUCUUUGCUGACGAGUGGCGGACGGGUGAGUAAUGUCUGGGAAACUGCCUGAUGGCGGGGGAUAACUACUGGAAACGGUAGCUAAUACCGCAUAACGUCGCAAGACCAAAGAGGGGGACCUUCGGGCCUCUUGCCAUCGGAUGUGCCCAGAUGGGAUUAGCUAGUAGGUGGGGUAACGGCUCACCUAGGCGACGAUCCCUAGCUGGUCUGAGAGGAUGACCAGCCACACUGGAACUGAGACACGGUCCAGACUCCUACGGGAGGCAGCAGUGGGGAAUAUUGCACAAUGGGCGCAAGCCUGAUGCAGCCAUGCCGCGUGUAUGAAGAAGGCCUUCGGGUUGUAAAGUACUUUCAGCGGGGAGGAAGGGAGUAAAGUUAAUACCUUUACUCAUUGACGUUACCCGCAGAAGAAGCACCGGCUAACUCCGUG